RNAcentral lists this ribosomal RNA (468 nucleotides) under uncultured bacterium. Its description in RNAcentral is "partial 16S ribosomal RNA". It matches the Rfam family "Bacterial small subunit ribosomal RNA", at positions 28 to 507 of the family's 1533-position model. The record is from RNAcentral.
GACGAACGCUGGCGGCGUGCUUAACACAUGCAAGUCGAACGGAAAGGCCCUGCUUUUGUGGGGUGCUCGAGUGGCGAACGGGUGAGUAACACGUGAGUAACCUGCCCUUGACUUUGGGAUAACUUCAGGAAACUGGGGCUAAUACCGGAUAGGAGCUCCUGCUGCAUGGUGGGGGUUGGAAAGUUUCGGUGGGUGGGGAUGGACUCGCGGCUUAUCAGCUUGUUGGUGGGGUAGUGGCUUACCAAGGCUUUGACGGGUAGCCGGCCUGAGAGGGUGACCGGCCACAUUGGGACUGAGAUACGGCCCAGACUCCUACGGGAGGCAGCAGUGGGGAAUAUUGCACAAUGGGCGGAAGCCUGAUGCAGCAGCGCCGCGUGCGGGAUGACGGCCUUCGGGUUGUAAACCGCUUUCGCCUGUGACGAAGAGUGAGUGACGGUAAUGGGUAAAGAAGCACCGGCUAACUACGUG